This is a long non-coding RNA of Oncorhynchus kisutch (coho salmon), 3003 nucleotides long. RefSeq lists it as uncharacterized. NCBI's taxonomy places the organism in Eukaryota, Metazoa, Chordata, Actinopteri, Salmoniformes, Salmonidae. The transcript has 4 exons. The record is from RefSeq and is a predicted model, not a curated record.
UGCACAAUGUUUCCCGUAUUAUCCCGCCCACUGAGCCCUCUUCUUGAAAAAACAUCUGGAAUUACAAACAGCAUUCUAGCUGGUUCAUCAUUGCAAGAAGUCUAAAUAUCCUCUCUCCCACUACUUGUGCACCAACAAGAAAACAAAGGCUGACCAGCAGGUUAAACGCCAGGACUCCCACCACUCUCAGGGAUUGUGAACUUUGACCACCUGCCCACUGUGGAGAAGUGCUUAGCUGCUAAUCCUUGGGAUCUGAAGGAAAACUCUCCGAGGGCCCCUCUUUUCAUGUCAUCACAACGCCUCUAACCAGUGUGAGCUCAAGCGCCUGGUUGAUGUGGUGAGCUGGCAGAGCAAGUCAGAACAUGGGAGGGAGACAUUUAUCAUCCUCUCUCUGGACUACAGCCUCCAGUGGAAAUCAUGUGGACAGGACAGACAGCACAGACAGAGAGUGGAAAAGAAAUCAUUGAUGUUUUUCAUAAUUAGGGAACCAUUGGUUUUGUGUUUUUUUUUUCAUGAGUUUAGUUUGAGUUUACAAAUGGCUGUAUUUUUGUAGUCUCGUUAAGUUCUGUACAUUAUGUGCUGCCUGUCUGUCACAUAGGAAAGAAGAUGUAUGGACAUCUAGACAGCAAACAGUUGCCAAGUUCCCACUCUCCACAGAAGGUUUCUCAUGUAUCAUCCUCUGCCCUUUUUCAGGAGCUAUCUCUGUCUGGUUUUCUGUCAUUCGUCCUGAGAUGCUCUCUGUCUUGCUGAAUGGUAGUACACACAAAGGUACUGUACACUGCGUUAAGCGUCUUUUGGCCUGCCCAGGGUAGAUUCCCCCUUCAAAACAUUGUGAUAAUGUUGAAGUCCUAAAUCAUACCCAGAUGAGUGUCAAGUGCAUACAUUGAGCUCUUGUCUGUACAAAGCAAGCUCAAUCUGUCCUAUACACACACAAGACACUGAUGGAUCAUUCUAGUCACAGAAGUGAGUGCCAUUGCUUGGAUUAUGCACAUGGCCUAAUUUCAGACCCAUUAGUAUCAAGGAUUUUGAGUCUUCCCUGCGUACUGACUUUUGUAUUUUAAAGCUUGUCACACUAGAGAGUCUUUACAACAUUAAGUAGCAGAAUAGUAUACACUUAAGCUCUUCAGGUUCACAGAGAGGGCACUUUUUGUUGCAUCUGCUGCCCACAUUUCUAUAUAUAUAUUUUUUUAACUCUCUGCCUUUGCACUAGAAAGUCCUCUAAACGUACAAUAACUUGUUUGAAAAUAGGGGGCUAUAUAUUUUUUCUACAAUAACUGUAGAACCAAAUGUAAAUCAGAUAUAAAAUACCCAAAGAGUUAUACGUUCAUAUAGCUUGGUCAAAAUAUACAUGUUCUACAUCUUCAUGGGCCAUAUUUUUUGGACCUGAGAAAUUACCAGCAGAAAGCCUCCCACCUGUUGCUCUGGUGGUACAGAUGUCCAGAGAGUGGCAUGGUGGGGGGGGGGGGGGCAUCACUCUGGCCACUGAUUGAUGACGACAGGUCCCGCAGGAAGUAACCCAGCCACCAUGAGGGAGUGUUUUCUGAACCCCAAGCGGUAUCCAGGAAAACAAGAGUGACUCCAGUCAUUGAGCAUUUGUACUGGGGGGCAUCUUAAUGUUUGGAUAUGCCGAGUCACUGUGGGCUUCACAGGAUAGGAGUAAGGAAUUAACCCUUCUAAAAUAGGGCUUAGGGAGUCUUUCCAGAUACUUGGUCAAAAGCCUGUAGAUAGGGAAUUAUCAAUCCUCUGCUACAUGAAUGCAUAAGUAGUUGAUGAUUCACCUUUGAAUUUGAGCGUCUGAGUUUGUGAUAUUCUUAGAUUUUUUUUAACAGCUAAACUAUGUUUUCGUACAAUAGAGAAAUUGAGUUUCAGAAGCCUGUGAACAGUCUUAGAACUAAGAUAAACCAUGGUCUGAUUUAAAUCUUAUGGGCAAGAGACUAGAUUUGAGAUGGAAUCCCUCUUCAUGAAAUCAGGGGAAUAAUGGUAACACUCACUUUACAUUUGCUGCAACCCUAUUACAGUAAAAGGUCAAAACCUAAACACAAGUCUUACAUUGAAGCAGCAGAAGUUGGUAGAUGUGUUUUCUGGCACUGAAAAGCAGCUGAAUGUCACUUACAGUGUUCACAUAACAUUAAGAGAAUUUUAAGAGAGAAAGAUGGUUUGUAUGGAACUUGUUCAACACUGAAGAAUACAGAAAUGAAAUAUCAAGGUUAGAUGUACUUGAUUAAGUCAAUGUUUUGUCUCUCUGUCUCUAACUCUGUCUCUGUCUCUCUUUCUCUCUCUCACACACUCUUUCACCCUCUCUCUCUCUCUCUCACACACACACACACACACACACACACACACACACACACACACACACACACACACACACACACACAUUCAACAUGGAAUUGUGAUGGCAUUGGUUGUCAGAAUUAACAAUUGUCUAUUGUUCUUGAUCAGACAAACAUGGAAAUACACAUAGAAAUUCCUUUUCACCUCAGCAACACACCUGGUCAUUGAUUGGUCCUCUCUCAUCGAGAGUUCUCUGGGGUUGAUUUGCGUAACUGGAAACUGUGUCAACAGAUGCAGGAGACCGCUGGUCAGGUGGAUUAGGCCUAAUGGUGAUCCUAUCUAUCUCUGGACUGUAGUCUGGGCCAUGUAAAAAUCGGCACUGUAAACGUCUCUUAUCUGAGGUAAUUUUCCUCAACUAAUCUCUGGAAAGACGUAUUUUGACGACCCAUUUAAAAUCAAAUGAAACUAAUUUAAACUGGUUUUCCUCGCUUUUUCACUUUGUGGCAGCGCAGUGUAAGUCUUUGAAUGUGUAAAACUCAGUAAACCCAAUACCCCAUAUUUGUAAGGAUUUUGAAGUUGCAUUAUUUGUAAAGAGAUUGAGCUUAUUAUUGUCCCAAAAGCAAUCUACUCACUGGCAUAGCUUGCAGGGGCACCUGCAUUUCUCAUGGAACCGCUACUUUCCCCAUGUUGCUUGAAUUCGAUAGACGGAAUAAAUUCUAUGAAAUACUA